AACGCCUGUAGACCGCGGAAAAAGUUUUAUCUAAUAAUACUAGUAAUUUGCCUGGAUAAUUACAGUACAACGGCGACGCAUCUGCCGAGUUCACGCAGCGGGUAAAUUAAAUCAGUUGCGUGGUUCGGAUCCGGUAACGUUUUCUCCCGUGUCGUGCACGCGUGCAGUAUUCUUGAUGUAAUUUAAUGCGCAAUAAGGGAGCUUAAACUAAUUUUUCUAUUAGACCUCUCGUUCCCUCGUCUUCUUCCCUUCGCUCGGCCGUCGGAAAUGGCCGCCCUAUCGACGCUGUUCACCGGCGUGAAGCGGCCGCCUCCAUUCCCCUCCUCCGCCGCCUUCCCUCUCUCCAAGCCCUUGUCUACUUCGAGAUCCCAACGGAGGAACCCCUUCUCUGCCUCGCUGGUCGUCAUCGCGGCUGUGACCAUCUCCAACGCCCAUACCCGGGAGCGGGAGAGGCUCAAGUAGCUAUUCCGGGAGGCUCGAGAAAGGUGCCUCGUCGAUCCCAUGGACGGUGUCUUCUUCACCCUCGACGAUUUCCUCGCCGCCUUUGACAAGCACGACGGGUCCGAGCCCAAGUUGGUCCCAAGGUUAUUAUAAUUCUUUGCAGCACAUGAGAUCCAACUAUUUUUCCAUUUUUUUUCUCCCCCAAGGUUAAAGGAACUGUCUUUAUGACAGAUGAUAAUGGUGCUCUUGUGGACAUUGUAGCAAAAGCAUCUGCAUACCUGCCUAUUCAAGAAGCAUCUAUUUAUAAAGUUUCACAUGUAGCAGAGGCAGGCAUAUAUCCCGGAUUAGAAGAUGAGUUUGUUGUAAUUGGUGAGAAUGCAGUAGAUGAUAGUUUGAUUUUAAGUCUACGAUCAAUUUGAUGCGAUCUUGCAUGGGAAAGGUGCCAGCAGCUCCAAGAUGCUGUGGUCACAGGUAAGGUGGGGAUCAUGUACCGCAUCUAGUUGUCUCCAUCUAUGAUUGCUAUGUCGGCCCUUUUCUUGGCAAACAUGGAUCUGCUGAUUAGGUCUCAUGUAUGAUAUUAGUCUCUGGUCCUUUUUUCUAUCAACUUUAGCUGAUCCACUCCCAGGAAGAUUUGAUGUUUUUAGUUUCAGAGUAUUCUUCCUACAAUUGCAUGAUUGACUUUGUUUCCUGUAUUUGCCUCUAUAUUUCUCAUGUUUUUAUUGGAAAAGUAAUAUUGGAAAAGCAAUACUGAAGGCUUGCAGCAUUGCAAUUAGCCAUAAGGGAUCAAGAUAAGACUCUCCAAAUGCCAACUUUGUCUCAUAUUGCUGCUGUUCAUUUGUAUUCAGAAGCCAUGGAGGAUUUUAUAGCUUUAUCUCUGUCUAAAUGUGUUGCUAUUUAAGCUUCAUAUACCAAGGUCUCUUGCUUUUGCAUCAAGAGUUGUUUUGAGCUUCAUAACACAUUAGGCUUUGAAUCUUAAACAAACUUGAAUCUCAAGCUUGCCCUUUACAUUUAUAUUCCUUCAAAGUUUCUACUAAAAUUCUCCUCAAUUUCUUAUUAAUAUUCGCAUUCAAACAAGCAUUUGCAAAUUCAUUUCAUUAAUUUGUGUUAAUGGAGCAAAGCCUCUCUAGGUAAUCAAAGAGCCUCCUUUUCUUCUUCUUUCAUCAAAUGCCUAUCUUGAAUUGGCUGUAUUAUCCAAAUAAAAAUAUGCAAGAGUCACUGAAAACAUAUAAUUAAAGUCCGCCAACUGCGAAUCAUGUGUAGCAUGUGGAACCAAGGACGGAAUAUACUGAUGUUUCUUCAAUUCUACUAUUUCAAUUAUAAUAAUUGAUGAAAAUGGAGUAAGCAGGAAGUGCUGUUACUGAAGGAUUAAUGUAAAUCAAUAUAAGCGGAAUGCUUGGGUUUGGUUUGAGCAGUUGAAUAGAGAAUGGCGGAUCAAAGAAACAUAGGUGCGAGUGCUAAAGCAGCAAACUGUAAUUUGAAAAAGCUCAUAUUGUAGUAUACCAUUAAUUAAGGUGACCAAAAAUAGAUUGAUCAAGGUAAAUUGCUUAUGUAAAUAACAUAAAUCUUCAGUGGGUUGAGGUUCAUUCAAGUUUCUGACCAACUAUCUAGCUUACAGUUGCAAAAAAGUAAAAGUGGAGGGGAUUCAGGUGGUAGAGCAAGAAAGUAUGUUUCUGUAAGGCAAACACAUUGUGUAAAAAUUGUCUGCAGAGUACAACACUGCAUAAGUCAAUUUAUUAAGGAAAGCUCCAAGUCUUUAUGAAAUUGAGGAGCUAGUGUGGUAUCAUGAUAGAAGCUUCCUGUAUCUAAGGCCCAAUAUUUCCUUUGAAAUUGGGAACUAAUAAGUGUUAGCAAUGUUUAUUAAUGGAAAGAUUGAUAAAAGGGAAAAAAAGUCUUGAGCAAUCAUGAAUAGGUGCUGCUAAUCCGCAAUAUGAACUAUUUUAAACAUUUUGAAGACAAUUGGAUCGACGGCUUAAAGUUUUUUUAUCAAGUGGUUGCGUGGCAAAAGGUUCAUGUGCAGAGUCAAAUAACAGUUCUAAUUAUUUAUGUCCAUUGGCUUUUAUAUAAUUUUAGGUUAAAUUUAGAGUUUUGAAGAGGUCUACAUGCUUGAGGGCAAGGUUCUUGCGUGGAUGUUGCGCUGCAGGCACAACCAUUACUGGAGGGGGGACCUAUGUUGAUUUUGCACCUUAGAAUCUGGUAUCUGGACUAUGUUGCAGUCAAACAUUCUUUAGGACUGAUGCAAUGUUAUACACCCGAAAUAUGGCAAAGGAAACUGCUUACAGGAGUCCCCUUGAUAUAUUUUUUUUCACUCUGUUAAAGAACCAAAAGUUUAGGAUUAGUUUUCUUUGGAUAUAGUUCUUAAUCCUUCUAGGUGAGUCUGUGCUACAAAAUUCUGUAUGCAAGGGCAUGAGUUAAUUUAUUAGAUUCAUUUAUGGACUGCUAGAAUUUAUAAAAGUUUGAUAAUCCAUGGGUCAUCUGUCAUCUGUAAACUUGAGUGAUGCCCAAUUGUGGUUGAACGAUUCCUUCAGACCCUCUUCUUCCUCCUACAGACCCUCUUCUUCCUCCUUGCUUUAUUGUAUUAAAAUAUUUUACUUAUCUCCUACUAAUACAUGUAGCCAUGUUCUCUAGGAUUUGUUAGGAAGGAUCACUGAGUUAGUUAAUUUCCCUUCCGAAAAAUGAAAACCUACUCAUAAAAUGCAUCCAAUUAUCAGCUCAUGGAACAGAUCUAUUGAAAUUUGGAACUCAAUAUUUGCCUCUAAUUAUGAUUUUUAGUGAGGUCAACAUAUAAUACUGUUUUGCCCUUCAUGCCUGCCUUUUAAUGAUCACAUGCUUUUAUGAACUGCAGGUUGUUGGGCAAAAUAAAGGAGGUGUGGUGGUCAUCAUGGAGGGCCUUCAUGGUUUUAUACCAUUUUCACAUAUUUCAAUGGUGGUUGUUGUAACCUGAUAUCUGCAUAUUCUAAUUUAUUGGUGCUACUUAGUUGAACACCUAGGUUGUUUCACUUAACAACCAUUUCCAAGAACAAUCUCGUUAUUUUUAAAGAAAAGCAAAGAGGAGUUUCACUGUGUUGCUUGUGAGUAAUAGCACAACAUUAGCUAAUAAAUCAAUAUCUUUUCCUGAUUCUGUUGGUAUUGUAGAAUAUAUAGAUCUUGUAGACAUCAGCCUCUAUUUUUUGGCAAAGUGGCACUCUGUCAAUACAGUUUACUUGCACUAGUCUGAUCUAGUAUUACUUGUUUCUGAUUCUUGGACUUGAUGUGCCAACUAGAUAUCAACUGCAAGAGAACUCAUCAACAAGAAACUACCUGUGAAAUUUGUGGAGGUUGAUAAAGAACAGUCUUGGCUUGUUCUCAGUAAUUGCAAGGCUGUGGCAAUCAAUAAAGCUCAUAUUGGAAUAGGGUCAGUUGUCACUGGAAUUGUUCAGGGCCUGAAACCAUAUGGUGCCUUUAUUGACAUAGGUGGAGUUAUUGGCCCUCUCCAUGUUAGCCAGAUAAUUUAUAACCUUGUUUCAGAUGUUGCGACAGUCCUGCAGCCUGGUGACAGGCUAAAGAGUGGCUUCUCGUAUUUGAGGUGAUUGUAGACCCCUUCAUGCCAAUUGUACCCAUCAAGGAUCUAGACAUAGCAGGAUCCCACUGGUAGAGGUGUAAAAAUGGAACGAGUAAUUUUAGCAUGCUGCUGCUACUCUUUCUUCCAUAGGCUUCUACGGAGAUACUUUUUGUCAGACAGUUGUUAUCAUCAAUUCUUGCUUUUGUAUUUUUAUGCUAAUAUUGUUGAAAUGCUAGGAAACAUCCUCCGCAAUGUUGUAUAAAUGGUGUUGACAAGAUCAUGAGAAGUUACUGGACAAAGCAGAGAGUAGCUAUCAGUCUCAUAUUUUCAUUU
This is a non-coding RNA of Phoenix dactylifera (date palm), 4312 nucleotides long. The record is from RefSeq and is a predicted model, not a curated record. Lineage: Eukaryota; Viridiplantae; Streptophyta; Magnoliopsida; Arecales; Arecaceae.